Molecule: ribosomal RNA, 115 nt
Organism: Danio rerio (zebrafish)
Lineage: Eukaryota; Metazoa; Chordata; Actinopteri; Cypriniformes; Danionidae
Source: Ensembl
UCACAGCCAUAUCACCCAGGAGCCGAAGACCGAUUACUCUAUUAAGCUAAGCAGGGCUGAGCCUGGUCAGUACCUGGAUGGGAGAUUACAUGGGAAAACUAGGUUGCUGUUUGAA